This 774-nucleotide ribosomal RNA is filed under the name uncultured Neocallimastigales. RNAcentral describes it as "partial large subunit ribosomal RNA". It matches the Rfam family "Eukaryotic large subunit ribosomal RNA", at positions 26 to 633 of the family's 3401-position model. Lineage: Eukaryota; Fungi; Neocallimastigomycota; Neocallimastigomycetes; Neocallimastigales. The record is from RNAcentral.
CGCAUCUGUGCAUGCAGCAUAUCAAUAAGCGGAGGAAAAGAAAGCUAACAAGGAUUCCCUCAGUAACGGCGAGUGAAGCGGGAAGAGCUCAAAUUUGAAAUCUUGAAAGGUCACCUUUCACGAAUUGUAGUUUAAAGAAGUGUUUUCUGUUACGAUCGUAAUAUAAGUUCUUUGGAAUAGGACAUCACAGAGGGUGAGAAUCCCGUCUAUGAUUGCGAUUUGUAGCUUUGUGAUACACUUUCAAAGAGUCGGGUUGUUUGGGAAUGCAGCCCAAAACGGGAGGUAAAUUUCUUCUAAGGCUAAAUAUUGGCGAGAGACCGAUAGCGAACAAGUACCGUGAGGGAAAGAUGAAAAGAACUUUGAAAAGAGAGUUAAAUAGUACGUGAAAUUGUCGAAAAGGGAAGCGUUUAACACCAGUGUUGUUUUCUGAAAAUCAACCUCUGUUAGCUUUAUGCAUGUUUGUUUAGACCUAAUCAGCUAUCUUGCAUGUUCUAUUGUUUGCAGUGGUGCACUUUUCAGUUUAACAGGUCAACAUCAGUUUUUUUUACCGUAAAAAAGUUAAAGAAAGGUAGCUCAUGGCUCCGGUCGUGAGUGUUAUAGUCUUUUUCCUAUGCGGUAGGAGAGACUGAGGUCUGCAGUGUAGGCUAUUUGGCUAGAUACUCAGGUGCUAUGUGAUACCAUUUCAUAAACAACUUGUUGAUUAUGUUUUGUCUAUUGCAUACUCGCUUGUACUAUCAUACCUACGCUUAGGAUGUUGACGAUCAGCUGAGCGCG